This 794-nucleotide ribosomal RNA is filed under the name uncultured Nitrososphaerota archaeon. RNAcentral's name for it is "bacterial SSU rRNA". It matches the Rfam family "Archaeal small subunit ribosomal RNA", at positions 127 to 922 of the family's 1478-position model. Lineage: Archaea; Thermoproteati; Nitrososphaerota. The record is from RNAcentral.
UAAUCUCGGGAAACUGAGCAUAAUUCUUGAUAGAUCAUAAUGCCUGGAAUGGUUUAUGGUUAAAAUGAUUCGUCGCCAUAGGAUGGGACUGCGGCCUAUCAGCUUGUUGGUGAGGUAAUGGCCCACCAAGGCGAUUACAGGUACGGGCUCUGAGAGGAGAAGCCCGGAGAUGGGUACUGAGACAAGGACCCAGGCCCUAUGGGGCGCAGCAGGCGAGAAAACUUUGCAAUGUGCGAAAGCACGACAAGGUUAGUCCGAGUGAUUUCUGCUAAAGAGAUCUUUUGCUAGUUAUAAAACCACUAGUGAAUAAGGGGUGGGCAAGUUCUGGUGUCAGCCGCCGCGGUAAAACCAGCACCUCAAGUGGUCAGGAUGAUUAUUGGGCCUAAAGCAUCCGUAGCCGGCUCUGUAAGUUUUCGGUUAAAUCUAUACGCUCAACGUAUGGGCUGCCGAAAAUACUGUAGAGAUAGGGAGUGGGAGAGGUAGACGGUACUCAGUAGGAAGGGGUAAAAUCCUUUGAUCUAUUGAUGACCACCUGUGGCGAAGGCGGUCUACCAGAACACGUUCGACGGUGAGGGAUGAAAGCUGGGGGAGCAAACCGGAUUAGAUACCCGGGUAGUCCCAGCUGUAAACGAUGCAGACUCGAUGAUGCAUUGGCAUAUAGCCAGUGCAGUGUCGCAGGGAAGCCGUUAAGUCUGCCGCCUGGGAAGUACGUACGCAAGUAUGAAACUUAAAGGAAUUGGCGGGGGAGCACCACAAGGGGUGAAGCCUGCGGUUCAAUUGGAGUCAACGCCGGA